Transfer RNA from Felis catus (domestic cat), 85 nucleotides. It matches the Rfam family "tRNA". Rfam says of the family: Transfer RNA (tRNA) molecules are approximately 80 nucleotides in length. Their secondary structure includes four short double-helical elements and three loops (D, anti-codon, and T loops). Further hydrogen bonds mediate the characteristic L-shaped molecular structure. tRNAs have two regions of fundamental functional importance: the anti-codon, which is responsible for specific mRNA codon recognition, and the 3' end, to which the tRNAs corresponding amino acid is attached (by aminoacyl-tRNA synthetases). tRNAs cope with the degeneracy of the genetic code in two manners: having more than one tRNA (with a specific anti-codon) for a particular amino acid; and 'wobble' base-pairing, i.e. permitting non-standard base-pairing at the 3rd anti-codon position. The record is from Rfam. Lineage: Eukaryota; Metazoa; Chordata; Mammalia; Carnivora; Felidae.
ACCUGGGUGGCUCAGUCGGUUGAGCGUCUGACUCCAGGUCAGGUCAUGAUGUCAUGGUUUGUGGGUUCAAGCCUCACAUCAGGCU